Molecule: long non-coding RNA, 176 nt
Organism: Oncorhynchus gorbuscha (pink salmon)
Lineage: Eukaryota; Metazoa; Chordata; Actinopteri; Salmoniformes; Salmonidae
Exons: 3
Source: RefSeq, a predicted model, not a curated record
CUUCUGCUGUGAUCGUUCUGUGGAUGUUUGUUUUAUCUGAAGCAGAGACAAGAGGAACUUUAGAUGCUGGGGGAGUUAUCUAUAUAUUUAUUCUAUUGGACCAGAGCGCUCAGAGAGGCAGAAAGACCACAGACUCAGCCAAGGACCUCUCUCCUAUCAGGGCCGCCAUUAAGAGG